CCAAUAGCGUAUAUUAAAGUUGUUGCAGUUAAAAAGCUCGUAGUUGAAUUUCGGGAUCAAAGAAUCGGUCAUGCCUUGGUAUGUACUGGUUUUAUUGGUUCUCACCUUCUAAAGAACCAUGAUGUCAUUCAUUUGAUGUUAUGGGGAAUUAGGACUGUUACCUUGAAAAAAUUAGAGUGUUUAAAGCAAGCUUACGCUUGAAUACAUUAGCAUGGAAUAAUGAAAUAGGAAAUCAGAUUCUAUUUUGUUGGUUUCUAGGAUCGAUGUAAUGAUUAAUAGGGAUAGUUGGGGGCAUUAGUAUUCAAUUGUCAGAGGUGAAAUUCUUGGAUUUAUUGAAGACUAACUACUGCGAAAGCAUUUGCCAAGGAUGUUUUCAUUAAUCAAGAACGAAAGUUAGGGGAUCGAAGACGAUCAGAUACCGUCGUAGUCUUAACCAUAAACUAUGCCGACUAGGGAUCGGAUGAUGUUAAUUUUUUAAUGACUCAUUCGGCACCUUACG
RNAcentral lists this unclassified non-coding RNA (499 nucleotides) under uncultured Glomus. Its description in RNAcentral is "SSU rRNA". It matches the Rfam family "Eukaryotic small subunit ribosomal RNA", at positions 591 to 1092 of the family's 1831-position model. The record is from RNAcentral. Lineage: Eukaryota; Fungi; Glomeromycota; Glomeromycetes; Glomerales; Glomeraceae.